GCCAACGACGGGCCAGCAGGCGGGGGACUAGGGAGGGUGCAAGGGUUAAUCGGAAGUUCUGGGCGUAAAGCGGGCGCAGGCGGUUGUGUAAGACAGAGGUGAAAUCCCCGGGCUCAACCUGGGAACUGCCGUUGUGACUGCAAGGCUAGAGUACGGCAGAGGGGGAUGGAAUUCCGCGUGUAGCAGUGAAAUGCGUAGAUAUGCGGAGGAACACCGAUGGCGAAGGCAAUCCCCUGGGCCUGUACUGACGCUCAUGCACGAAAGCGUGGGGAGCAAACAGGAUUAGAUACCCGAGUAGUC
Molecule: ribosomal RNA, 300 nt
Filed under: uncultured Archaeoglobus sp.
Lineage: Archaea; Methanobacteriati; Methanobacteriota; Archaeoglobi; Archaeoglobales; Archaeoglobaceae
Description: bacterial SSU rRNA
Rfam family: Bacterial small subunit ribosomal RNA
Source: RNAcentral